This 1579-nucleotide ribosomal RNA is filed under the name Spermophilus dauricus (Daurian ground squirrel). Its description in RNAcentral is "16S ribosomal RNA". It matches the Rfam family "Bacterial large subunit ribosomal RNA". The record is from RNAcentral. Lineage: Eukaryota; Metazoa; Chordata; Mammalia; Rodentia; Sciuridae.
GAACCAGUUCUAACCCAAAACUCAACUCACUCAACUAAAAAAAAUUAAUCAAACAAAACAUUUACCUUUAAUAAAAGUAUAGGAGAUAGAAAUUUAACCUUUGGAGUUAUAGAGACAGUACCGUAAGGAAAGUUGAAAGAUAUAACUUAUAGUAAUAUAAAGCAAGGAUUAACCCCUCUACCUUUUGCAUAAUGAUUUAACCAGAAAAGACUUUACAAAAAGAAUUAAAGUAAAACACCCCGAAACCAGACGAGCUACUAAUGAGCAAUUGAAAGAAUAAACCCGUCUAUGUCGCAAAAUAGUGGAAAGACUUGUUAGUAGAGGUGAAAAGCCUACCGAGCCUGGUGAUAGCUGGUUGUCCAGACUAGAAUUUUAGUUCAACCUUAAAUUUACCUAAAAGAAUUAUUAAUCCUAAUGUAAAUUUAAUAGUUAUUCUAAAGAGGUACAGCUCUUUAGAGUCAAGGAAACAGCCUUAUUUAGAGAGUAAAUUAUAACUUCCCCAUAGUUGGCCUAAAAGCAGCCAUCAAUUAAAAAAGCGUUAAAGCUUAACCUAACAAACAUAUAUAACCUAAUUCCACACUUAACAAUAAGCUCCUAAUCAUAUAACUGGACUACUCUAUAAACUUAUAGACGCAAUAAUGUUAGUAUUAGUAACAAGAAACAAUUUCUCCCUGCAUAAGCUUAUAUCAGAUCGAAUACCUCACUGAUAGUUAACAGACAAAUAAUUAAACUUAAAACCUUAAAUCUUUAUUAUCCAAACUGUUAACCCAACACUGGCAUGCUACAGGGAAAGAUUAAACAAAGUAAAAGGAACUCGGCAAACAUUAACCUCGCCUGUUUACCAAAAACAUCACCUCUAGCAUAACCAGUAUUAGAGGCACUGCCUGCCCAGUGACAUACGUUUAACGGCCGCGGUAUCCUGACCGUGCAAAGGUAGCAUAAUCACUUGUUCUUUAAAUAGGGACUAGUAUGAAUGGCCCCACGAGGGUUUAACUGUCUCUUACUUUUAAUCAGUGAAAUUGACCCUCCCGUGAAGAGGCGGGGAUAAUUUAAUAAGACGAGAAGACCCUAUGGAGCUUAAAUCUACUUAGCCUAAGCAUUUUUAUUCUUUUUCCGACAGGAUUUAACAAACAUGCCCCACUAGGCUUAAGAUUUUGGUUGGGGUGACCUCGGAGAAUAAAAUAACCUCCGAAUGAUAUUAAGCUUAGACUUGACCAGUCAAAGCUUCCACUCAUUAAUUGACCCAAACUUAUUGACCAACGGAACAAGUUACCCUAGGGAUAACAGCGCAAUCCUACUCAAGAGUUCAUAUCGACAGUUAGGGUUUACGACCUCGAUGUUGGAUCAGGACAUCCAAAUGGUGUAACCGCUAUUAAUGGUUCGUUUGUUCAACGAUUAAAGUCCUACGUGAUCUGAGUUCAGACCGGAGAAAUCCAGGUCGGUUUCUAUCUAUUUAAUAUUUCUCCCAGUACGAAAGGACAAGAGAAAUAAGGCCCAUAAAACUUUCACGCCUUAGAGUAAAUAAAUGAAAUAAUCUUAAUUUAAUAACUCAUUCAUUACAUGCCCUAGAACAGGGCCU